RNAcentral lists this ribosomal RNA (220 nucleotides) under uncultured Glomus. RNAcentral describes it as "partial small subunit ribosomal RNA". It matches the Rfam family "Eukaryotic small subunit ribosomal RNA", at positions 591 to 817 of the family's 1831-position model. The record is from RNAcentral. Lineage: Eukaryota; Fungi; Glomeromycota; Glomeromycetes; Glomerales; Glomeraceae.
CCAAUAGCGUAUAUUAAAGUUGUUGCAGUUAAAAAGCUCGUAGUUGAAUUUCGAGAUCAAAUUGUCGGUCGUGCCUCGGUACGUACUGGCAUUAUUGAUUUCUCCUUUCUGAAGAACCACGAUGUCAUUAAUUUGGUGUCUUGGGGAAUCAGGACUGUUACUUUGAAAAAAUUAGAGUGUUUAAAGCAGGCUCACGCUUGAAUACAUUAGCAUGGAAUAA